This 497-nucleotide ribosomal RNA is filed under the name uncultured bacterium. RNAcentral's name for it is "partial 16S ribosomal RNA". It matches the Rfam family "Bacterial small subunit ribosomal RNA", at positions 28 to 507 of the family's 1533-position model. The record is from RNAcentral.
GAUGAACGCUGGCGGCGUGCCUAAUACAUGCAAGUCGAGCGAACGGACGAGAAGCUUGCUUCUCUGAUGUUAGCGGCGGACGGGUGAGUAACACGUGGAUAACCUACCUAUAAGACUGGGAUAACUUCGGGAAACCGGAGCUAAUACCGGAUAAUAUUUUGAACCGCAUGGUUCAAAAGUGAAAGACGGUCUUGCUGUCACUUAUAGAUGGAUCCGCGCUGCAUUAGCUAGUUGGUAAGGUAACGGCUUACCAAGGCAACGAUGCAUAGCCGACCUGAGAGGGAGGUGGGCCACACGGGAAAAGAGACACGGUAGGGACGACAGCGUGAGGCAGCAGUGGGGAAUUUUCCGUAAUGGGCGAAAGACUGACGGAGCAACGCAGCGUGGGUGAUGAAGGUCUUCGGAUCGUAAAACACUGGUAUCAGGGAAGAACAUAUGUGUCAGUAACUAUUCACAUCUUGACGGUACCUAAUCAGAACGGCACGCCUACCUACGUG